AUCCGGAGGAUCCGAGCGUUAUCCGGAUUUAUUGGGUUUAAAGGGAGCGUAGGCCGUGUAUUAAGUGUGUUGUGAAAUGUAGAUGCUCAACAUCUGAACUGCAGCGCAUACUGGUGCACUUGAGUACGCACAACGUAGGCGGAAUUCGUCGUGUAGCGGUGAAAUGCUUAGAUAUGACGAAGAACUCCGAUUGCGAAGGCAGCUUACGGGAGCGCAACUGACGCUGAUGCUCGAAGGUGCGGGUAUCGAACAGGAUUAGAUACCCUGGUAGUCCGCACGGUAAACGAUGGAUGCUCGCUGUCCGGUCCCUGUGACCGCGUGGCCAAGCGAAAGCGUUAAGCAUCCCACCUGGGGAGUACGCCGGCAACGGUGAAACUCAAAUGAAUUGACGGGG
RNAcentral lists this ribosomal RNA (394 nucleotides) under uncultured bacterium. Its description in RNAcentral is "partial 16S ribosomal RNA". It matches the Rfam family "Bacterial small subunit ribosomal RNA", at positions 523 to 918 of the family's 1533-position model. The record is from RNAcentral.